ACGAACACUGGCGGCGUGCUUAACCCAUGCACGUCGAACGGAAAGGCCCUGCUUGCAGGGUGCUCGAGUGGCGAACGGGUGAGUAACACGUGGGUGAUCUGCCCCUUACUUUGGGAUAAGCCUGGGAAACUGGGUCUAAUACUGGAUAGGACCAUGCUGUAGGUGGUGUGGUGGAAAGAUUAGUUUCGGUAAGGGAUGAGCUCGCGGCCUAUCAGCUUGUUGGUGGGGUAAUGGCCUACCAAGGCGUCGACGGGUAGCCGGCCUGAGAGGGUGGACGGCCACAUUGGGACUGAGAUACGGCCCAGACGCCUACGGGAGGCAGCAGUGGGGAAUAGUGCAAAAUGGGCGCAAGCCUGAUGCAGCGACGCCGCGUGGGGGAUGACGGCCUUCGGGUUGUAAACUCCUUGCAGCCAUGACGAAGCCCUUGUGGUGACGGUAGUGGUAGAAGAAGCACCGGCUAACUACGUG
RNAcentral lists this ribosomal RNA (468 nucleotides) under uncultured bacterium. RNAcentral's name for it is "partial 16S ribosomal RNA". It matches the Rfam family "Bacterial small subunit ribosomal RNA", at positions 29 to 507 of the family's 1533-position model. The record is from RNAcentral.